Molecule: long non-coding RNA, 1057 nt
Filed under: Brachypodium distachyon (stiff brome)
Lineage: Eukaryota; Viridiplantae; Streptophyta; Magnoliopsida; Poales; Poaceae
Description: long non-coding RNA (BDIS_LNC001808)
Source: RNAcentral
CGCAAGAGGAAGAGGAGAAGGAAGGGGUAGGUGUCGUCGGCUAUCUCUUCGGGGUUCGUCGGCAGAAAGCUCAAGACGGCGGCAGCAGUGGCGAAAUGGCGGCGCGCUAUUAGAACAGCCUGGGGGCGAAUCGCGCGAGAGAGGAGGGGGGAAAACUAGAGGAGAUCGAGGGCUUUAAUAUGACGCAAACGGCUUCGGAGAUGGGGUCGUGUGCGCGGAGGAAUCGUGCGCGUGGACUCGGGUUCAUGGCUGGGAUUCUUGGUCUGGGCAGUUGGAGGUUGAAGGCGAUGCCGACAGGUGGGUCCCACCUGUCGGUGGCAGGGGCGGCGCGCUGUGUGGAGAUGGGCCGCGGCGCCCGGGUAAGUGGGCCGGUCUGAUUGGGUCGGUCCGAUACCCCCCUUUUUUUCUUUUUUUUUUCUAUUUCUAUUUUCUGUUUUUGAAUGCAACUUUUGAUUUAAAACUCCAAUUCGAGUCAAAUAAAAUGCAACAAAAUUUGUAAAAUCAUAUCUUCAUAUGAUUCAACUCUUGGGACAAGAAUUCCCUUAAGAUAAAAUAUUUUAAAAUACUUUUGCCUAUAAACUAGCAUUUAGGACUUUUUAGCUAUUAAAAUAUUUUAGUGUUUUCGAAUUCAAAUCCAACACCAAAAUAUGGGGUAGCACCUUUAUUGCGUUAAACCCUUUUAUGACAUCACCCUCGUGGGUUAAGAUCCAAUUGACAAAAGAAAGGUAAAAGAAAAGAUUCAAAUAAAAGGGCACAUUGUUCUUGAGUUCAUCUGAGUUUGAAAAUUAUGAUUUUAAAUGGGGUUGAAUGCAAAGGUUAUAUGAUGCUUAUGAAAUGCAAUGCAUAUGUAUAUGUAGAGUUUUGAAAAUCGGGGUGUUACAGGCCGACCGCCACCCUCCGGUUCCUCUCCUGCCGCAGGACAAGCACCCCGUGCCUCCUCCUCCUCUGCUCCAGCGCCUGGCGUCCGGCCCCGCCCGCCAUGCCUGCCCUCCGGCCUCCGGUUUCCGUCAGGCUCCUGUCCGGCCACGCGCGUCUGCGCGGCGACGAGGAGCGCGAG